Saccostrea echinata is the source of this 2089-nucleotide long non-coding RNA. RefSeq lists it as uncharacterized. The transcript has 4 exons. The record is from RefSeq and is a predicted model, not a curated record. NCBI's taxonomy places the organism in Eukaryota, Metazoa, Mollusca, Bivalvia, Ostreida, Ostreidae.
ACGAAUUGAGAUUACCACGUGUUUCCGCUGUGGUAGCAGUAAACAACAACAUGAUAAUGAUCUGAACGUCAAUUUUCAUGAUUAUUUUACGACGAGGAACAUCACAUCAGUGCAUCAAAUAUUACGAUCUUUCCUUUGGUAUUAGAGGGUGCUGCAUGGUGCCAUAGGCUUCAGUACUUUCAUCUGUGAAGACCCACUUGCUAACCCUACCAUGCACUGAAGGACCAUUAUGUGGGGAUACAGGUGCUUAUUAUGACCAAUGAACAGUCAUGUACAUGUAUACAUGAGUGGUCAAACUAUAUUCACUGGAUGGCUAUUUAUCAACACUCUCAUGUACAUUCUCUUGGACAUGUCUUGGACAUGUUUGCCCUGAAGCAACAGUUUUCAGUCCAUUAAUGUGUCCUUUUUCUUAACAACCCUGACAGCCAGGGUAGAAACUGAUUACAUGUACUUGACAGAAAUUGAUCAUGUCUUGGACAAGUCAAAGAAGUUCCUCCAGUCUUUCAGAGAAAUGACAGUUAUAAUGAAAGACUGGUAUUCACAAAGUAAAAGUGCUCUGGUCUUCAACAUUUUGUGGAAGAUUGAAUCAGUCUGAUUUAGAAUUCAGCUUGCAAUAUUUCUGGAUUUGUAUAUUUGGAUAAAACAUCACAUUUUCUACGUAUUGACUAAACAGUUUUGCGUUAAAUAUUGCCAAUGCCAUCUAUUAUUAUUUUUUCCCUCCAAGAUGACAUCAAGUCUUUAUUGUACCCCUUAAGCACUGUUACCAGAAAAAUCUUGUAAUGAAAUCAAUUAGUUUAUUUUUCUUGUUAAAUUUAAAGUCGGGGAAAAAUCCAAGAAAAUAAAGGUUAUUUUUAAUGGCAUCAAGAAAAUGGAUUUGUUUUUGUUUAACAGAAAAAUACUAUACAUGUUGUAGUUACUGUUAUGUAAUUUUUACAUCACUGUUCAGCCACACCUUUUUGUCAUUUUUGCCACAACUUUAUUAGUCACAUCUUUCAGGAAAUGUAUAGGACCUGUGGGUCUGUCAAUUUAAUUGCUAGUAAAUAUGCAUUAUAAAUUUGAACAAAAUUGCACUGGUGGAAAGUACUAAAGUACUGUUUUUUUUUUUUUUUUUAAUUUACUUGAUAUUGUGGUUGUGAUUUUGUUUUUAAUUAGAACACAAGAAACCCUGUUUGCAAAUUGUACUUCAAAUUUUUGACAAUAUUUUUUUUUAAUUACUGGCAUUGUCAAUUUAUUAUUGCCUUAAAAGAUCAAGUCAAAUGUUUCUAUUCAAACAUGGCUGGUGAAUGCAGUCUUCACCAGCGAAGGGAUUUGCUAAUUUUCUAUCUAUCUUGCUAUCAAAAGCCAGGAUUUUUUUUCACAGGUUGUGAUUGGAGUUUAUUGACAUCAUUUGACCAAUCAGUAAGUGCUAUAGUAAAUGACGAGAUCUUCAUUCAGGAUAUUUCUUGACUCUAUAGUCUCAGUAAUAAAAACCUUUGUAAACAAUGAUUCAUAAGAUAACAUUCCAUUCUUGAAAUUGCUAUGGCAUAUCAUCCAACGUGAAGAUUAUGCGCACAUAAUGUAAUCUGGAACCUACAUUUUGUAUAUUGCAGAUAAAGACUUGCAACUUACUAACAAAUAAACCUAUCUGCUUGUUAGUUAUUCUUCAGACACUUCACUUUUUAUAAGUGCUCUUUAUUUCUAUGAAUGAUGCAAGCUGUGAUUCGAGAUCAGGUGGCGUAAACAAUCCUGACCUUUGAUAGCAUGAUAGGCUAAGGGUUUGUGAAAAGAGUAGCAGACCAGAAUUCUUUGCUUACGAAGAUGAGCAAAUGCAUGUCACAUAAAUAAGAUGAAUGAAAGGAUUGUAAUGCAAAAGCCACUUAUUUGAAAAAGAGAUUCCAAGUUCCAUCUAUUGUCCAUCUCAUGAGGUUUCUUCAUGCUUAUCAUAUUACCAUAUGAUAUUUACCAUAUCAUUUUAAUAAUGUGUGUCACUAAGGUUGAAUUACAUGCAAUCGCAUCUUACGAAUUUUAUUUCAGUUCACAUGUUUUAGAUGUAUUUCUGGAAUGGCAACCAAGAUAUGCAAAAUAAAAAAGAUUAAUUCAUUUUAUCAAA